UAUAGAUUCACAGUAUGACGUCAUAAUGUGGGAAGACAUGAUGUCAUACUGUGUAUUCCCACAUUAUGACGUCAUACUGUGUAUCAAUA
Molecule: non-coding RNA, 89 nt
Organism: Paramuricea clavata
Lineage: Eukaryota; Metazoa; Cnidaria; Anthozoa; Malacalcyonacea; Plexauridae
Source: the annotation of a GenBank genome assembly